UUAUAUGGCGGCCAUGCGUAGGGCACCUCGAGUGCGCCGGGUUUCCAGGUUUCCGGUCUACCAACCUCCGUAUGGUCGCCACCCUC
This 86-nucleotide non-coding RNA is filed under the name Pseudomonas serbica. Lineage: Bacteria; Pseudomonadati; Pseudomonadota; Gammaproteobacteria; Pseudomonadales; Pseudomonadaceae. The record is from RNAcentral.